Phoenix dactylifera (date palm) is the source of this 963-nucleotide non-coding RNA. The record is from RefSeq and is a predicted model, not a curated record. NCBI's taxonomy places the organism in Eukaryota, Viridiplantae, Streptophyta, Magnoliopsida, Arecales, Arecaceae.
GUUAUAGAGACUUUUGGACAUAUUAUUGUCGAUAAGUCUAGUUUAUAUUCUUUUCUUAUAUUUGUUGAUAACCUUAGCGUUAUAUUUUUUAUCUUAUUAUAGGAAUUAAGAUGUGAACUUUCAUCAUUUGCUGGUUCAAUUGACUGUCAUUGCUGCGUACGAUGCUGGUUCCCUCAGAUAUUCCUUUUCUUCUGGUAUAGAUGAUAUAAACAAUUAACAUAGUCACUUUCAUCUCCUUGACCAUAGCUUGCAUGCUUCCACCAUUUUAACUGCUGUUUUCUGUUGGUGUUGCCACCAGAAACUGUUUUUAUUCAGUGUUCUUGUUAUUGAUAAGCAAGGGAGAAAUGGUUGAACUUGCCAUGCAUACAGCAACCAUUGCAAUGUUAUCUUGGUCAUAGGGUCUAGUACAAGGUUGGCCGAAAGAAGAGGAGCAAUACAAGGUAGGUGACAGAACAAAAAAGAAUCGACAAACUACUGCUAAUUCAAAUGCUCUAAAGCUUAGUUGUGAACUCAUUCGCAUUUUUGUCACAGAGGCUGUGGAACGUUCUUGUAUGAUAGCUGAAGCAGAGGGUAUUAAUAAAAUUGAACCUACUCAUUUAGAGAGAGUACUUCCACAAUUGCUUCUGGAUUUUUAAGCUGUUGAUGGCGAAAUCAGAAGGGCACUUUGAGGCCGGACACUAGAAAGAAAUUAAAGCCCAUCUUUUGUUUUCAGUCAGCCUGGAAUUCCAUUGUCAGUUUGCCUACGUGGAUUUGGACUAAGCUGCAAGUCUUCCAUCUGACCAAGUUUGCUGGUUGAUCAGUUGUCCUGGUGGCUGGUGGAAAAUAAUUGAAGUAGGAUGACUUUGUUAAAGUAGAAAAGGCUUAGAUCCUAUAUAUUCCUCAGUUUUUCUCAAGUUUAAAGGAGGAAGCUGAAUGACUUCAUUGAUUAAAUACUUGCCCUGCUAAAAACUAUGGUUAUUUUCA